CAUCACUUGUGACUAGGAAUCUUUGACCUGGAAACCACACCAUCCAGAUUGUGGAUCUGGCAGCAUUCUAAUCCCUGUUUAAGAGGGUAUAUGAGUUAGUCCAGUCCAGAGGGCCUAAAAUGAAUCCAUGAAACCUCUUAGGGCGCAGGGUAGGGUAGCUAUCAGUGAAGGGCAACAUCUCAGCUGCCAGUAGGUAUGUGUGUGUGUGUGUGUGUGUGUGUGUGUGUGUGUGUCGAGGUAGAGCUGUGUGUGUAUGUAUGUAUGUGUGAUCUAUGGAGGUAGAGCUGUGUGUGUGUGUGUGUUUGAGAGAGAGAGAUCUAUGCAGGUAGAGCUGUGUGUGUGUGUGAGAUCUAUAGAGGUAGAGCUGUGUGUGUGUGAUCUAUGGAGGUAGAGCUGUGUGUGUGUGUGUGUGUGUGUGUGUGAUCUAUGGAGGUAGAGCUGUGUGUGUGUGAGAUCUAUAGAGGUAGAGCUGUGUGUGUGUGUGUGUUGU
Clupea harengus (Atlantic herring) is the source of this 490-nucleotide long non-coding RNA. The record is from Ensembl. Lineage: Eukaryota; Metazoa; Chordata; Actinopteri; Clupeiformes; Clupeidae.